Molecule: ribosomal RNA, 253 nt
Filed under: uncultured bacterium
Lineage: Bacteria
Description: partial 16S ribosomal RNA
Rfam family: Bacterial small subunit ribosomal RNA
Source: RNAcentral
UACGAGGGGUCCAAGCGUUGUUCGGAAUCACUGGGCGUAAAGCGGGUGUAGGCGGCUACACAAGUUGGGUGUGAAAGCCCCGGGCUCGACCCGGGAAGUGCAUUCAAAACUAUGUAGCUUGAGUACGUGAGAGGAAGGUAGAAUUCCAGGUGUAGUGGUGAAAUACGUAGAUAUCUGGAGGAACACCGGUGGCGAAGGCGGCCUUCUGGCGCAGUACUGACGCUCAGACCCGAAAGCGUGGGUAGCAAACAGG